AUACCCUAUUAUUUUUAUUGUAAAAAGUGAAGCCAGAGUAUUAGUAGUUAUGAUCUUGAAACUUAAAGAAUUUGGCGGUAUUAUAGUCUAUUUAGAGGAAUCUGUUAUGUAAUCGAUAAUCCGCGUUGAACCUUACUUAUAUUAAUUCUUGUAUACCGCUGUUUUCGAAUAUACUUUAAGGUAUAAUUUUCUUAAUAUAGAAGUAAAUAGGAUUUCAAGUCAAGGUGCAGUAAUAUAUAAGUUGAAUAAUGGAUUACAAUAAGUUUUAUUUAUGAUGGAUUAUUAAAUUAAAAUUUAGUAUGAAGGUGGAUUUAAUUGUAAUUUUUUGAAGAUUGUAAAAGUGAUUAAUGGCUCUAUAAUAUGUACACAUCGCCC
Molecule: ribosomal RNA, 375 nt
Filed under: Deiphobe sp. MN256
Lineage: Eukaryota; Metazoa; Arthropoda; Insecta; Mantodea; Mantidae
Description: partial 12S ribosomal RNA
Source: RNAcentral